Molecule: ribosomal RNA, 1343 nt
Filed under: uncultured bacterium
Lineage: Bacteria
Description: 16S ribosomal RNA
Rfam family: Bacterial small subunit ribosomal RNA
Source: RNAcentral
GACGAACGCUGGCGGCGUGCUUAACACAUGCAAGUCGAACGGAAAGGCCCUGCUUUUGUGGGGUGCUCGAGUGGCGAACGGGUGAGUAACACGUGAGUAACCUGCCCUUGACUUUGGGAUAACUUCAGGAAACUGGGGCUAAUACCGGAUAGGAGCUCCUGCUGCAUGGUGGGAGUUGGAAAGUUUCGGCGGUUGGGGAUGGACUCGCGGCUUAUCAGCUUGUUGGUGGGGUAGUGGCUUACCAAGGCUUUGACGGGUAGCCGGCCUGAGAGGGUGACCGGCCACAUUGGGACUGAGAUACGGCCCAGACUCCUACGGGAGGCAGCAGUGGGGAAUAUUGCACAAUGGGCGGAAGCCUGAUGCAGCAACGCCGCGUGCGGGAUGACGGCCUUCGGGUUGUAAACCGCUUUCGCCUGUGACGAAGCGUGAGUGACGGUAAUGGGUAAAGAAGCACCGGCUAACUACGUGCCAGCAGCCGCGGUGAUACGUAGGGUGCGAGCGUUGUCCGGAUUUAUUGGGCGUAAAGGGCUCGUAGGUGGUUGAUCGCGUCGGAAGUGUAAUCUUGGGGCUUAACCCUGAGCGUGCUUUCGAUACGGGUUGACUUGAGGAAGGUAGGGGAGAAUGGAAUUCCUGGUGGAGCGGUGGAAUGCGCAGAUAUCAGGAGGAACACCAGUGGCGAAGGCGGUUCUCUGGGCCUUUCCUGACGCUGAGGAGCGAAAGCGUGGGGAGCGAACAGGCUUAGAUACCCUGGUAGUCCACGCUGUAAACGGUGGGUACUAGGUGUGGGGUCCAUUCCACGGGUUCCGUGCCGUAGCUAGCGCUUUAAGUACCCCGCCUGGGGAGUACGGCCGCAAGGCUAAAACUCAAAGGAAUUGACGGGGCCCCGCACAAGCGGCGGAGCAUGCGGAUUAAUUCGAUGCAACGCGUAGAACCUUACCUGGGUUUGACAUGGAUCGGGAGUGCUCAGAGAUGGGUGUGCCUCUUUUGGGGUCGGUUCACAGGUGGUGCAUGGCUGUCGUCAGCUCGUGUCGUGAGAUGUUGGGUUAAGUCCCGCAACGAGCGCAACCCUUGUUCACUGUUGCCAGCACGUUAUGGUGGGGACUCAGUGGAGACCGCCGGGGUCAACUCGGAGGAAGGUGGGGAUGACGUCAAGUCAUCAUGCCCCUUAUGUCCAGGGCUUCACGCAUGCUACAAUGGCUGGUACAGAGAGUGGCGAGCCUGUGAGGGUGAGCGAAUCUCGGAAAGCCGGUCUCAGUUCGGAUUGGGGUCUGCAACUCGACCUCAUGAAGUCGGAGUCGCUAGUAAUCGCAGAUCAGCAACGCUGCGGUGAAUACGUUCCCGGG